This 499-nucleotide ribosomal RNA is filed under the name uncultured bacterium. RNAcentral's name for it is "partial 16S ribosomal RNA". It matches the Rfam family "Bacterial small subunit ribosomal RNA", at positions 28 to 507 of the family's 1533-position model. The record is from RNAcentral.
GAUGAACGCUGGCGGCGUGCCUAAUACAUGCAAGUCGAGCGAACAGACGAGAGUGCUUGCACUCUCUGACGUUAGCGGCGGACGGGUGAGUAACACGUGUGUAACCUACCUAUAAGACUGGGAUAACUUCGGGAAACCGGAGCUAAUACCGGAUAAUAUUUAGCUUCGCAUGAAGCAAUAGUGAAAGACGGUUCUGCUGUCACUUAGAGAUGGACCCGCGGUGUAUUAGCUAGUUGGUGAGGUAUCGGCUCACCAAGGCAACGAUACAUAGCCGACCUGAGAGGGUGAUCGGCCACACUGGGACUGAGACACGGCCCAGACUCCUACGGGAGGCAGCAGUAGGGAAUCUUCCGCAAUGGACGAAAGUCUGACGGAGCAAUGCCGCGUGAGUGAAGAAGGUUUUCGGAUCGUAAAACUCUGUUGUAAGGGAAGAACAAGUACGUUAGUAACUGAACGUACCUUGACGGUACCUUACCAGAAAGCCACGGCUAACUACGUG